AGAUUGAACGCUGGCGGCAGGCCUAACACAUGCAAGUCGAGCGGUAGAGAGGUGCUUGCAUCUCUUGAGAGCGGCGGACGGGUGAGUAAAGCCUAGGAAUCUGCCUGGUAGUGGGGGAUAACGCUCGGAAACGGACGCUAAUACCGCAUACGUCCUACGGGAGAAAGCAGGGGACCUUCGGGCCUUGCGCUAUCAGAUGAGCCUAGGUCGGAUUAGCUAGUUGGUGAGGUAAUGGCUCACCAAGGCGACGAUCCGUAACUGGUCUGAGAGGAUGAUCAGUCACACUGGAACUGAGACACGGUCCAGACUCCGUACGGGAGCAG
RNAcentral lists this ribosomal RNA (323 nucleotides) under uncultured soil bacterium. RNAcentral's name for it is "bacterial SSU rRNA". It matches the Rfam family "Bacterial small subunit ribosomal RNA", at positions 26 to 351 of the family's 1533-position model. The record is from RNAcentral.